RNAcentral lists this unclassified non-coding RNA (725 nucleotides) under Epimedium koreanum. RNAcentral describes it as "partial external transcribed spacer". Lineage: Eukaryota; Viridiplantae; Streptophyta; Magnoliopsida; Ranunculales; Berberidaceae. The record is from RNAcentral.
UAUUAAGAAAUGCAAUGGCGUGUGAGCAUGUUGUUGGUAAGUGUUAGCUUCAUGUUGAGCAGGUAUUGUUCGUUCGAUAUUAUGUAUGGUCUUACUUAAUCUACAUGCAUAUGUACUUAUUCACCAAUAUGUUUGUGUUUGAGCAUAAUAGUUUGCACUCAUGUAUUGGCAUAUAAGCAUGUUGGUUUAUUAUUUUCGCGCACAGCGAUCCUUUGAGUCGACCUAUUUUGCUACGAACUUCUGUCUAAUCUUUAUGGCUAGAUAUAAGACGUGUUGCGAAGUAUGUAGACUCACUUGUGAACGUGUUGGCGUGUGAGUGGCAAUUGGUACGUGCGUGUUGGUGGGCUCCUUGCUUUGUGCAACGAACCCCAUGCGUGCAUUCCUCUUCAGUUAUUCCCAAGGUUAGUUCAUUCAUCAUUGGGUUGGUUAAUGGUUUCUGUGUUGCUUACCUUGAAAUGGUAUUAGUCGUUUAAAUAAAAUAAUCGUUUCUCGUUCAACAUGUGUGGACGCGAGGCGACUUAUUAGUAUUAUUUGUGUAAGCAUUCAUUCAAUUUAUUGUUUUGAUUGUAGAUCACAAAUCAUACAUGCAAAUAGGGAUGCAGAAAAUAAAAACAUUGCUAGGUAUUCUCCUAGUAAUUGCAUUUGUCAUUAGACAUGAUAGACUAUCGCGUAACUGGUGGCUUUCUUCCGAGUACAACUUAGUGAAUCUCACUCGUGCCGAUCGC